Molecule: small nuclear RNA, 107 nt
Organism: Lynx canadensis (Canada lynx)
Lineage: Eukaryota; Metazoa; Chordata; Mammalia; Carnivora; Felidae
Source: Ensembl
GUAUUCCCUUCGGCAGCACAUAUACUAAAAGUGAAAUGAUACAGAGGAGGUUAGCAAGACCCCUGUACUAGGAUGACGUCCAAAUUCUCGAAGCAUUCCAUAUUAAA